CUCAUGGAUGGGGCAGGGAUUGGGCUUCAGACACUGCGGAAGGGGCUGGCAGGGGUGGGGGAAGUAGUGGUGGCAGCCCUCAGCACAGCACAGCCUGAUGUGGGGGUGGCCACCCCACAGCUGGGGCCACGGAGCUUGGGCUCCCUGGCGCCCAGCAAGGGUAAGUGUGGGAGCAGACAGAGGGAAGGAUUACUCAUGGGUCUUCGCCCAUGCUCGCGCUGGCAUCUGUAGGCCCCUCGCCAGGAAUGACGUGGGCUUGGUUCUCAAGCAAUCCGGCUGUAACAGCUGGAGCCUCUGCUCCUCUUCUCCUGGGGUCCUGGGCAGGAACUUGCGCUCCCUGCAACCGUCUCUGUCCCCUCAUUCCCUCAAGCUGCUCCGUAUUAGAUGAAAGCCCUCACUGGCCUUCCACUGACUUCACCUCAGGGUCCAGACUGCUUCCUUCUCCUGUCAGCUUUCUCGCCUGAGCUUCAAACUCUACCGUUGGACAGUCCCAGAACCACUUGCGGAAGCACACAUUUGUGACUCGAGGGCUGGGAGAGGUGGACACUGGAGGAUUUUCGGUGUGCCGGCCAGCAGAUCCAGCCCAUUAUGGUUGGCUCCAGACCAAUCAGGAACCUUACUUCAGAAGACAAGGACCCUGCUCAGAAUGUACAGUGUGCCAGGCUGCGCUUCAGACUUACACAAUCUCUUCCCGGAGCCUCUCACAUCUGGAGUCCAGGCACGCGUCAUCCAGUGUCUCCUGGGCAGUCUGGGGAGCAACUGACUCUGCUUUCUUCAUAAAUGAGGCGUUUGAGGUAGAAAGCUAAAGAAAAAAAAAAUUCUUGCCUGUUUGCCGGGCAAGGUGUUAAACUCUUGUAAUCUCAGGCUUGAGAUACUGAGACAGGAGGAUUGAGAGUUUGUGGCCAGCCUGGUCUACAUAGCAAGUUCCAUGCCAGCCAGGGCCAUGCAUCUGAGAAACAGAAGAGGGAGGAAUGUGCCUAGGAACUUUUCCCACCCAGGUUAUCCAUUCCCAAUGAUCACCCUUUGAUUCCCUAUAAUUCUGUCCCCUCUUUAGGAGUUGGGGUGCACUGUGUACCCAGACACCAUCUGGUACUCAUUGCAUAUCCUCUGAAACAAAUUCCCUAUCCCUAGGUGAAAACUGGGGGCUAGUUGUAGGAUUCAGGGAACUGAGCCAUGAGUCCACCCACUAUUAGGAGGUGUGGCCUUGUUGGAGUGGGUGUGGCCUAUUGGAAGAAGCUUGUGGGCUUUGAGACCCUGGCUGGAAGACAGUAGUCUUCUCCUGACUAGCUUCAGAUCAAGAUGCAGAACUCUCAGCUCCUCCAGCACCAUGUCUGCCUGCAC
Mus musculus (house mouse) is the source of this 1341-nucleotide long non-coding RNA. RefSeq annotates it as predicted gene, 30701. Lineage: Eukaryota; Metazoa; Chordata; Mammalia; Rodentia; Muridae. The record is from RefSeq and is a predicted model, not a curated record. The transcript has 3 exons.